GGCCCGUGCAGCGCCUGCAGAGGCGUGGGGUCCGACAGGUGGGCACCUUCAGUGCUUGGCGCGGCUUCGGCGGGGUGGGCCAGGCGGCGGUCUUAAGGCCUGUGGCGCCUGCGGGGUCAGCGGGCGGUGGCGCGGUUCGGAUCCGCUUCCGAGCAUCUCCGCGGUCUCCGAGCGAGGGCUGGUCCGUGCCAGACCCGGAGGCCGGGCGGGCGGGACACAACCCCGUCGACGGUAGCGCGGUUUUGGCCGCCUGUCGAAGUGGCGUUUUCCUCUUUCCGUGGCUCCUAGGAACUUAAGUCGCACACGAGGCCCACGCCCGGUGUCUGUGGGGCUGCCCGCGUGGCCUCGGCCGCCGCCCCUUUGGUGCGCUCAGCAGCAGCAAGGGGCAGCUCCCCGCGGAGAUGCGCCCGGCCGAGCCCCGUCCCGAUGGUCGGGAGGGUGAAGUACAGGAGGGUGUUCUUGUACUUCUGAGGCUUGGUGCGUGUGGGGACGUUUGUUGGAGGAACUGGGAAUGGAACCCGGGGCCUCGCGCAUGCCAGGCAAAUGCUCUACCACUGAGCUACGCCCGCAGCCUUUUUGAGACGGGAUCUGGCUAAAUUGUCCAGGUUGAACUCGAACUUGUGGUCCUCCUGCCUCGGCCCUCCACUUAGCUGGAAGUACAGGCGUGGGCACCUUGCCCAGAGACUUGUUCUUUUUUGUUUGUUUGUUUGUUUGUUUUAAUAUUUUUUAGUUUUUGGCGGACACAACAUCUUUGUAUGUGGCGCUGAGGAUCGAACACGGGCCGCACGCAUGCCAGGAGAGUGCGCUACCGCUUGAGCCACAUCCCCAGCCCCCAGAGACUUGUUCUUGAGAGUGUGCAUCUCACCUUUCCUGCGUGGCACUCCACUUGGAGUGUGAGUUCCUUGCCUUCAAGACCCAGUGCUACCUUCAUGUAGCUCAUACCUGAAACUGCUGCAACUCUGGAAGCCGAAACCCAUAUUGCAAGAUGGAGACCAGCAUGGGUCUUUCCCAGGUUCCCAGGUGUGACAUUUCAGGCCUGGCGGACUAUGAACCAGUGUCGCGCCCCAGUUCAAUAGGAUUGACCAGGUGCUUUUCCACUGAAUUGCAGCUCUUCAUAAUGCCACUGUGGGGUGAUGACUGCUUCAGAUCCGAUGAACUGGUCUAUUUUUGUGCUUGCCUUGACUUGUUUUACAAACCAAGAUUUGGGGCCCAAGACAAAAGACUUGAGUUUAGAUUUUCUAACUGUGGAGGUUAGUAUUUUGUCCAUUGAUGGGAAGUGAAGGGAUUUAGGGUACUGUUGUGGAUUAGCUCGUGAUGGUUUGAAGGCAUCUUAGUUCCAGAACAUAAACUAUGAAGAAGAAAUGUGCACAUCUACAUCACCAGAAACAAGCAGAGGCCACUGCAGGUGCACAGAUCAGACAAGGAUCAAAGUAGCUUAGACUCUACCGUCUAAGGUGGGCUCUGGGCCUACAGUGGCUCGUGCCAAGGGCAGUUGAACACGCUUCAGUUUGGGGAACUGCCCAGCCAGAGUAGCAGAGAGCAGGGCUGCUGUUCUGUGGCCUAGGUGGCUGUGGCUAAGUUGAUGUUCUAUGAAAGUCAGGGCAUCCAGCAGCACUCCCCCCCAGGUGAUCAUGCUGCCAUGGCUACCCUGGCAGCUAGCUCUUGCUGGUACCUUGUCCUUCCUGAAUCAGCCUUCUUCAACUUAAGCAGGUACAGCAAAGUUGGUUCUUAUGAGCCCCGCAGGAGGCCUGAGAGACCCCUGGGCACCCACAGUGCAUUCUACUUCCCUGGAUAUAGGCCACCCUGUCUGAAUACCUGUAGGCCUCAGCCCAGAGCAGAGGGCUGAUGAGAUGGGUCACUCAUCCUGUGCUCAGGCCUUCAAGGAGUAUGUCCUUGGGGUCGGCCUUCCCUGGGGCAGUGACUGGCCAUAUAGGUGCUUCUGGACAUCUUCCAGGGAGUGUCACACUCAGAGUAUGUUACCUGUUAAACAUGGUUUCCUGCUGAGUCAGCAUGUUUUGAUUACUAUUACCCUCUCUGGAUACAGUGGUGCACAACUGUAAUCCCAGGGACUUAGGAACCUGAAGUAGGUGAUGGCAAAUUCCAGGCCAGCCUGGGCAAUUUAGUGAGACCUGAUCUCAAAAUAAUCAGAAGGGUUGUGAGGUAGCUAAGUGGUCAGUGCUCCUGGGCUUAAUUCCCAGUACUGAGGGGAAAAAGCUACUUUCAACCACCCCCUCCCUGGCGUGUGUGUGUGUUACUGGUGAGUGAAUUAAGGGCCUUGUAUAUGCUGGGCAAGCACUCUGCUACUAAGCUGAGUUACAUUCCCAGCCUCAAAUAUACUUGCACGCACAAGGCCCUGUAUUUGAUCCCCAGCGCUACCAAAAAAAAAAAAGCAAGCGUUCUUAGAACACAGCUUCCUUUAGCCUGCACCUGCUAUCCUGCUAGAUGUGUAAAGGGGUCACCAGCAAGUUCAUGGGCACCUAGAGGGCUACUGGCUGCAGGUUUUUGCUGUAUUAGGCUUCUGUGCCCAAUUCUGAGACAGGCGUGCGGGAGAGAGCAGGGCAGUGGUGGUAAAUCAGUACCUGGCGAUUGCUUGGUCACAUCUAGAUCCUGACCUCAGCUGGCACCAGUUAUGGCCUCUUCACAGAAGAAGGGCCUGUCUGUGGAUGCUGAGGAGGUGGAAGCUUGGGGAUUUCUGGGGCCUGUGGAUAAAGGGAGGUGAGAAGAGGGCAUGGGUUGUGGACCUGGGAGGCCAGCCUUGGAGCAGCAUCAAGCUGUACAACAGGUCAGGGUGGGACCAGGAGGAUCAGGUUAGACUUGGGACUUGAGACACGUCAUGCACCUUCUGCAAGUGCAACUUUGUUAUCCUCCCCUAGGAGCUCGAGCAAAGUCUUGGCUGUUGGCCAUGUGCCUGUACAACUUGGCACUCAGGGUCUGAGUUCACAUGUCUAACAAGCUUGGAAAACCCCAGAGCAAAAAGAUCAAGCCUCUUGGCCUGAUGUGAGCCUCAGAAGUCCUUGCCCAAUAAACAACUGCUGGCAAUAAGAUGGAACGUU
This 3053-nucleotide long non-coding RNA is filed under the name Marmota monax (woodchuck). Lineage: Eukaryota; Metazoa; Chordata; Mammalia; Rodentia; Sciuridae. The record is from RNAcentral.